Molecule: ribosomal RNA, 515 nt
Filed under: uncultured bacterium
Lineage: Bacteria
Description: partial 16S ribosomal RNA
Rfam family: Bacterial small subunit ribosomal RNA
Source: RNAcentral
GAUGAACGCUGGCGGCGUGCCUAAUACAUGCAAGUCGAGCGAAUGGAUUGAGAGCUUGCUCUUAUGAAGUUAGCGGCGGACGGGUGAGUAACACGUGGGUAACCUGCCCAUAAGACUGGGAUAACUCCGGGAAACCGGGGCUAAUACCGGAUAACAUUUUGAACCGCAUGGUUCGAAAUUGAAAGGCGGCUUCGGCUGUCACUUAUGGAUGGACCCGCGUCGCAUUAGCUAGUUGGUGAGGUAACGGCUCACCAAGGCAACGAUGCGUAGCCGACCUGAGAGGGUGAUCGGCCACACUGGGACUGAGACACGGCCCAGACUCCUACGGGAGGCAGCAGUAGGGAAUCUUCCGCAAUGGACGAAAGUCUGACGGAGCAACGCCGCGUGAGUGACGAAGGCUUUCGGGUCGUAAAACUCUGUUGUUAGGGAAGAACAAGUGCUAGUUGAAUAAGCUGGCACCUUGACGGUACCUAACCAGAAAGCCACGGCUAACUACGUGCCAGCAGCCGCUAUAA